Molecule: ribosomal RNA, 497 nt
Filed under: uncultured bacterium
Lineage: Bacteria
Description: partial 16S ribosomal RNA
Rfam family: Bacterial small subunit ribosomal RNA
Source: RNAcentral
GAUGAACGCUGGCGGCGUGCCUAAUACAUGCAAGUCGAGCGAACAGAUAAGGAGCUUGCUCCUUUGACGUUAGCGGCGGACGGGUGAGUAACACGUGGGUAACCUACCUAUAAGACUGGGAUAACUUCGGGAAACCGGAGCUAUUACCGGAUAAUAUUUCGAACCGCAUGGUUCGAUAGUGAAAGAUGGUUUUGCUAUCACUUAUAGAUGGACCCGCGCCGUAUUAGCUAGUUGGUAAGGUAACGGCUUACCAAGGCGACGAUACGUAGCCGACCUGAGAGGGUGAUCGGCCACACUGGAACUGAGACACGGUCCAGACUCCUACGGGAGGCAGCAGUAGGGAAUCUUCCGCAAUGGGCGAAAGCCUGACGGAGCAACGCCGCGUGAGUGAUGAAGGUCUUCGGAUCGUAAAACUCUGUUAUUAGGGAAGAACAUACGUGUAAGUAACUGUGCACGUCUUGACGGUACCUAAUCAGAAAGCCACGGCUAACUACGUG